Molecule: transfer RNA, 65 nt
Filed under: Echinostoma revolutum
Lineage: Eukaryota; Metazoa; Platyhelminthes; Trematoda; Plagiorchiida; Echinostomatidae
Description: tRNA-Tyr
Source: RNAcentral
GCCGAUUUAGUAUAUUUUAGUGCAUGGGAUUGUAGCUCCCGGGGAAGAGGUUAUUCUGGUCGGAG